This 74-nucleotide transfer RNA is filed under the name Salmonella phage bastian. Its description in RNAcentral is "tRNA-Gly". It matches the Rfam family "tRNA". Rfam says of the family: Transfer RNA (tRNA) molecules are approximately 80 nucleotides in length. Their secondary structure includes four short double-helical elements and three loops (D, anti-codon, and T loops). Further hydrogen bonds mediate the characteristic L-shaped molecular structure. tRNAs have two regions of fundamental functional importance: the anti-codon, which is responsible for specific mRNA codon recognition, and the 3' end, to which the tRNAs corresponding amino acid is attached (by aminoacyl-tRNA synthetases). tRNAs cope with the degeneracy of the genetic code in two manners: having more than one tRNA (with a specific anti-codon) for a particular amino acid; and 'wobble' base-pairing, i.e. permitting non-standard base-pairing at the 3rd anti-codon position. The record is from RNAcentral. Lineage: Duplodnaviria; Heunggongvirae; Uroviricota; Caudoviricetes; Demerecviridae.
CGUUCGUAGUUAAAAGGUAUAAUUUUUUGGUUGCCAACCAGAAGUUGAGGGUUCGAUUCCCUCCGACCGCACCA